UGUGGUGUUAAUCACUCACGGUGGUGAGCGUGAUGCAGGCGUGUGUGUGUGUGUGAGCACGCAUGAGGCCUGUGGCAGAGCUGUAGGAAAAGAGGGGCACUUAAACCUGGUCACUCACUAUUGGGCCCAAACAUCACUGCCCUGCCAUGAGUGUUACUGUAGCGCUCUGCCCUGGGCUGGGCGGAAGGGCUGGAGAGAGGGAGAAGGAUCGAGUGAGGGAAGGAUAUUGUAUGAGAACGAAAGGAGAGUGCUCCCAGAGAAGUGCUAAGGAGCCUUGUAGCAGUGAGAGACCUUUAGCACAAGACAGGAGGAGGCCAAAUGAGCAGCGCAGAGCGCAGCAGGGAAAAGACGGUCUGCCCAAUCUGUCCCCUCAGGCCCAGGGGCUGACACGAUACAUAUGGAGCUGUCCUUCCUCUUCCAUCUCCUUAACUGUCGCUCUGCCAGUCUGUAAAAGGCGAGCGGUAGUAGAGAUGAGGCGUUUUCGAUUGCUGUGUAAGGAAUAUCGAGGGUGUUUUCUGGGUCAUCAGCACAAACUAGCAGUGGUGACAAUGCUAAUUGUCAGGUAGUGGUAGCCGAGACAGGCGUAGCCUAGUUACCAACUACCAGCAGACUGGGAGAGGUCGAGCAACGGACCUCAACAAGACCAGUAUUGGUGUGACUGAAACUUCUCAGCCAGUAAGACAGAGAGAGAAAGGCUGCAUGCUUUUAGUCAGGGAGCUCAGCCUAGACCACAGACGACUCAAUUCUGCUCAGCAGUGAAACGGUUAAACUUUAGUUCUGUCCGGCAGCAAAACGGUUAAACUGAGUUAUAUAAUUUUUUAAAUCUCCCCCAGCUGUGCAGCUGACUUGGUAGUCCUGAUGGCUGAGGCCUAGAAAUUAGGUUGUCUUAUCAUUCAAUCAGGAGUGUGGUUGUAUGUGAAAUAUCUUUGCUUCCUAAGGCUUGUCUUCACCUGUUAUGGUGGAAAUGUUUUAAUUAUUGUUCUUGACAUUAUCUCCAUUAAGUGGGAAGGUGAUGAUCCUAACACUGUUUUGACUGUAUCUCCAUUAAAGAAAGGUGAUGAUCCUAACACUGUUUUGACUGUAUCUCCAUUAAAGAAAGGUGAUGAUCCUAACACUGUUUUGACUGUAUCUCCAUUAAAGAAAGGCACUGUUUUGUACUUCUAUCAGUGGAGGCUACUGAGGGGAGGACGGCUCAUAGUAAUGUCUGGAAUGGAGUCAAUGAAUGGUAUCAACCACAUGGAAACCUCGUCUUUGAUCUGUUAGAUAACUUUCCAUUGACUCCAUUCCAGCCAUUAUUAUGAGUCGUCCUCCCCUCAGUAGCCUCCACUGGCUUCUAUGACCAGGGGUAGGAACUGACCUGGAUGAAGAAAAAAAAACGGACCAAUGAGAAGAGACACAGGUGUACAACACUAAUGAAAUACUUGUUUUCCUCCCUCGACUCCACCUUGCUACAUCAAUGACUACGUUUACAUGCACAUUCAUC
RNAcentral lists this long non-coding RNA (1483 nucleotides) under Salmo salar (Atlantic salmon). RNAcentral describes it as "lncRNA (ENSSSAG00000107256.1)". The record is from RNAcentral. Lineage: Eukaryota; Metazoa; Chordata; Actinopteri; Salmoniformes; Salmonidae.